AGUGGGAUGACUGGGUCAAAUGGUGAUUCUAUUCCAAGUUUUCUGAGGAAUCUCCACACUGCUUUACAGAGCGGUUGCAUCUAUUUGCAGUUCCACCAGCAAU
Molecule: microRNA precursor, 103 nt
Filed under: Marmota monax (woodchuck)
Lineage: Eukaryota; Metazoa; Chordata; Mammalia; Rodentia; Sciuridae
Source: RNAcentral